ACAAUGAAACCUCUUUCACCACUCACCCUUUCCUUCCUCCUCUUUGUUUUCAUCACCACUCUUUCACUAGCUUUCUCAAAUGAAGAUGUUGAGCAAGUAUUGGACGUUAAUGGCAAGCCCAUUUUCCCCGGUGGCCAAUACUACAUCUUGCCAGCAAUCACUGGAUCCUCUUUGUUUUCAUCACCACUCUUUCACUAGCUUUCUCAAAUGAAGAUGUUGAGCAAGUAUUGGACGUUAAUGGCAAGCCCAUUUUCCCCGGUGGCCAAUACUACAUCUUGCCAGCAAUCACUGGCCCUCCCGGCGGAGGAGUAAGACUCGGAAGAACCGGUGAUUUAACCUGUCCAGUCACCGUCCUACAAGACCGCCGAGAAGUUAAAAACGGUCUACCAGUGAAGUUUGUUAUACCAGAAAUAUCUACUGGUAUAAUUUUCACUGGUACACCAAUUGAAAUAGAGUAUACAAAGAAACCUAAUUGUGCAAAAUCAUCAAAAUGGUUAGUAUUUGUUGACAAUGUUAUUCAAAAGGCCUGUGUUGGUAUUGGUGGUCCUGAGAAUUACCCUGGUAUUCAAACAUUGAGUGGAUUAUUUAAGAUUGAGAAGCAUGAAUCUGGAUUUGGCUAUAAGCUUGGAUUUUGUAUUAAGGGUUCUCCUACUUGUUUGGAUGUUGGAAGAUUUGAUAAUGAUGAAGCUGGAAGAAGGUUGAAUUUGACUGAGCAUGAGUCCUUUCAAGUUGUGUUUGUUGAAGCUGAGGCUAAUGAUGCUGAGUUUAUUAAACUCCUACUUGUUUGGAUGUUGGAAGAUUUGAUAAUGAUGAAGCUGGAAGAAGGUUGAAUUUGACUGAGCAUGAGUCCUUUCAAGUUGUGUUUGUUGAAGCUGAGGCUAAUGAUGCUGAGUUUAUUAAAUCUGUUGUUUGAAUUUUAGUUUAGUAUAAUUAAGCUAGAUUGUGUGAGUUUUAGUUCUUGCACAGUUUUAAGCAUAUAAUAAAAUGGAAAUAUUUGUGUUCAAUGUUUUCUCUCUUCUAUUAUUUUUCUCUUUAUAUAUAUCAUUCAUUAUAUUCUCUCUCUCUAGUUGUUACAAAAUCAUUAAGGAUAAGUUUUGUUACUAUAUUUUUGGAUUGAAUUCUUAAAUGGUUUUGUCAUUGAUUGUUUCAAGGGAUGUUCACGUGGAUACAGCAGAAAUAUUUACAAGCCUUAGUGUCCUACUAUGUUUGUUAAUUACAAUUACAAAUAUCACCAAAAGUAAGAGAAAGUAGCUUAGGCAGUUUUGGUAACUUUUCAGGGUAAAACAGAAAUGUACUUUGCCCACGAGGAGCUCGUGGUUACAAUUUUGCAUAGAUAAUUAUUCUUUCUAAAUUAUUGUUUUUUCUUUUAUUUGAUUUCUAAAUUAUAAAAAUUAUGUACAUUUUAAUUAAUUAGGUGUAGCGUAGGUUUUUGAAUUUUUUUUUUAAAAUAACUAUCAUUUUCAAAAUUAAUUUCAAAAUAAUAGAUUUUUCAAAAAACUUUCCAAAAUAACCACCUUUAAAAAAAGAUGCGUCAGAUGAACUAGCGCAACCGUCUUAAACCAAGAGGAGGCACCUGCGUUGCAAGUCUUAUGAGGAGGCGUCAAUGUCUAUGGCGCCUAUUUUGUGUCUCAUGAGGAGGUGUCAAUGUAUAUGACGCUUGCAUUGUGUCCUAGGUGUAUGCGUCAAUUCAUCUGGUGCAUACACCCUUAUAUUAUAUAUUUUUUUAAUUUUUUUUUUAAUUUAUGAAAUAAUAAAAAAUAAUGUAAAAAAAAUUAUAUUCAUGAUAUAAUCAAUGUUACAUGGGAUUGACAAAAAUUUAAAGACCAGCCUGAUCGAAACGUCCAUCUAUUCCACAUCCAGGUGGUUAGUUUUUCUCUGAGGUCUCCCACAAUUUUCCUGAGGUGUUUGGGGUUUUUGCAUGUUGACCGGAUCGAAUGAUGUCUGGUGUAAAGAUCUGACGGAAGUUCCAGUGGUAUUUGACAGAUGUGUCAUCAUUUGUUCCCAAUAUCCGGGGGGCUCUGGCCAACGACACUUCCGUAAUGGAGUUUGGUGUCCAUGUCAUCGUAGUUAGGUCGAUGGGAUUGGAUGGAUUGUGGACGGUAUAAUUGCCCAAAUUGGGACAUUAAAUCGUUUUGGAAACGAAGCAAUGGUUCCUAGGGCAUUCUAUAGUUAAACAAUGAUUGUGUGUUUUGGUGAUGGGAUGUUUGAGUGGUCAUUGGUGGGGGGCUACGAUGAAGUGACCCAUAUGAAUCAUUUGGGCUAUAGACGUUUGUGGUUGAUGCGUAUGAUUGUUGGUGGGUAGGGUUUGAUUCUUGGUUUUGUGGUUGGGUGGGGGACAUGAAUGGAUUGCGACGUUGGGUGUUUGGUUGUUUGGUGGAUGGCAUGAAUGGGUUGUGAAGUUGGGUGUUUGGUGGUUGGGUGUAUGUGGUAGGUUGAUGGUGUGAGGUUGGUUGUUGGGUUUGGGUGGUUUGACAUUGGUGUUGGACGGGGACUUGUUGGGCGUAUGAUGACGAAGUUAGUUGGCAUGGAUCUAUCAAAUACCGCGGCUCAGACACAAAUUGUUGAGUUGUUACCGACCUAAACCAUGUCAUAUAUUAUUGAGUUGGUCCUGCAUCAUGGAUGAUUGGUUCGUUUAAGAUGUGUUAUCGUCGAUUCCUCCAUUGACGACACAUCUCUUUUGCAAAGUCUCUCCAGUCGGAAUAAUCCCAUUGGGCAUCAACUCUUUUUUGAUGCCAAUUCCCUAAACACGCCGGAGGUUCUGGAAUCUGUUGUUGCAUGUCGAACUGCGGCUUUACCCGGUCACUCUAGUCCAUUUCCACAGUAUUGAACCGGAUAAUUGGUGUCUUUGUUGUCUAAACUGUAGCAUCGUCAUGGUUCACAUGAUGAUCAAGAUCCAGAUAUGGCCUCUAGAUAAACUGUAAAAUAAUACGAAACGAUUAGAUGAUAAAUAAUUUGAUAAGUAUUUUUAAAUUAAAAUAUAAUUGUGUAAGAGUAUUACAUCGUAUGGUCCAAUGUCGUCCAAUAGAUUGCGAUAGACUACUAUAGCGUGUUUCAAACACCUAUUGUAGUUCAUCCCCCUUACUUACCACCUUAGAUAAAAAAAAUUGAAAAAUAUUAUUUACAGUUAAUUGUAGUAUAAAAUAUAAUUAAUUAAAUGGUAAAGUGUUACACUUACUUUGUUGCAAACGGGAACACGAAUGGGUUCUCGUUUAUCGGGGCGAGUGACGACAUUCUUAAUCAACUCCAUGCUUGUAGCAAAUACGCACAUGAAAAAAACGUACAAGUAUUCUUUUUUGCAUUUUUACACAUUACACUAUAUAUAUGGGGCAACACAGCUGAACCCCAACUAUAUGUGCUUACCUUAUUAAUGUUGCGUAACAAUGGUAAAUACAUAAUAUUUACUGAAUUACCUGUACUUUUUGGAAAUAAAAAAUUACCAAAUAAAAUCAUAAUAUAACACCGAGCUUUAAUUAUUUUUUCGUACUCGGUUGAUUCUUCGGACAAUAUUAUACUCGCAUUAUAUUGUUUAAGGUAUUUUAAAUUUAUACAUUGUCCCAUUGCUUGACCGGAUGACUCUCCCUCAGUUUGGUCGUUACACAAAGGGGCAUCCAAUAAUUUGUUGUAGAUAGAGUUGUCCUGGUUUACUCUACUAUUCAAGGUCUUACCAUCUAUACGGAGACCCAACAACAUGUAUACGUCCUCAAGUGUGACGGUACACUCACCGAAAAGAAGGUGAAAUAUAUGGGUCUCGGGUCUCCAUCUCUCCAACAAAGUAAGAAUGAACUUGUAGUCUACCGAGUACGAGACAAUGUUAAGGAGAUUUCCAAAUCCACAUCCUCUAAUAUAUGGUUCUAUCAAAGGAUUAUGGGGUACAUAUUCAUGUACACGACAUCGAAAAUGCUUUGGGUCCUAAUAACACAUAAGUAAGAAAUACAAUAAGAAGAAGUAAUAUAUAAUACAAACAUAGAUAACAAAGGUAUACGAAUUAAAUAUGGAAUAAGUAAAAAGAGAGUGAUAACAUACAAACGUCGAGAUAUUCUCGAGUGUUCCUCUGUGUUCAUCACCCAUAGUCAACAGGGACAUAAUUUGAUGUUGCAGAGCUUGAGUGUGGCAGAGAAAGAAUGUGGUAAAGAAAGAGUAUAAAUGAUUAGUGUUGGAGAUGAUUUAAUGUUGUGAUUUGAAGCCUAUUUAUAGAUGAGGGAGUCUUACUAGGUUUGCAACCUAUGCAGCAUAUGAUUAUGGCAAAGUAGAGUAGCCAUAGUCUUAGGCGCAUGAAUGUGAUAUUCACAUGCAAAGAAGAGCCACCCUUGCUCUUGGCGCCUAUGAGUCUUUGUCAUGAAGGGGCGUCCUUGCUCUUGGUGCCUAGGUUGCUUUAUGUGGCGCCUGUUUGGACUAUUAGGGCAGAGAUUCUCUUGUGAUAUUCCUUGUGUGUAGAGAUUCCUUGGGCGCUUUCAUUGUGUGUUCUUGUCACUGCAUGCAUUCCCUGUGUGUUCUUGUCACUGCAUGCAUGGUAAGGUUUAUGCAGAUGAAUAGCAUGAUCAACGCAUUCAACGUUUACGCUAUUUAAGUGCAUUUGAAUAACAUAUCAAUGCAUUCAAUUUCAGUAUAGAAAAGAAAGUUAGAAUUAAAAAAAUGUCUUUCUCACAACAUUACAAUAUUAGUGCCCAUAUCGAAGGUGAAAUAUUUGAGCAUCAACUAUUCAAUUUUUGUUUUCGCAACACAGAGGUAACUCGGUUUACAAUAAAUCGACGAUCAAGUUUUUUACAUUUGAAACAAAUAAUAGAAAAGAAAUUGCAGUGCACUCCUGUUGGCCAAAUCAUCUAAAAAAAUCUGGUUUGGUUUGCAGAAAACCAGGUGAAGUUUUAUUAGAAGAAGAUUCGAAGAUGAUGAAGAUGUUCAACAUAUGUUUCUCAGUCACGAACAAUCUGGGUAGAACGAUAUACAGUUGUCUAUAUUACCACAACAACAACAAAUGUCUCAGUUCAUUGAUCAGUCAAGAGUGUUUUGUGAAACUGAUGACGAACAAGCUGAGGUGAAUGUUAUAGAUGACGAAGAGGAAGAAGCCGAGAUCUUGGUUGAUUCAAUGGUGAACGCUGAUGACGAAAAAGAGCCAUUACCAGCUAGUCAUGUAUAUUAUCCACCUUAACACAUGACAAGGUUGAGUUUGGGUUCCGAUGAACCUUCAUCAAAUAUAUGGUACAAUCCUUAUGUGCAAAUGCAAGGAUCUUUGAAACAAGGAGACACAUUUCUCACAAAAGAGGAUUGUGUAAAAGCCAUCAAAAAAUUUCACAUGCAACUAUCAGCUGAUUUCAGAGUUGAUAGAACUAAUGCAUUGAGGUACAAAAUUUAUUGUUUGAAUGAGCACUUCCAUUUCAGGUUGUCAGCUUCGUACCGGAAGAGGAGCGAUUCUUGGGAGAUUGGAUCCAUGGGUCCAGUUCACACAUGCAUGCUGACAAACCUAAUGCAAGAUCAUUGGAAACUAAGUUCUCAGCUAAUAUGCGAUGAAAUAUUGUUUGUCAUUGGAGACAAUCCAUUUUAAAGGUGAGUACAAUAAUCUCACAUAUUAUGGCAGAGUACCAGUACACUCCAUCAUAUAGGAAGACAUGGAUAGUUAGGACUAAGGCUGUUGAAAAAAUGUUUGGAAAUUGGGAGGAGUCUUACAAACAACUACUAAAAUACCUGUUGGCUAUAAAAUAGUAUGCUCCAGAUAAUAUUGUCAAGUUGGAAACGUUGCCUGCAUAAAGAAAAGACGGGAUGUGUGCUAUUGAAAAUGGAAUAUUCCACGGUCUCUUCUGGGCGUAUCAACCAUACAUCAUAGGUUUUUCUUUUUGUAAACCUAUUAUACAAAUUGAUAGUACAUGGUUGUACGGGAAAUACAAAGGAACGUUACUGAUGGCAGUGGCACAAGAUGGCAACAUCAGUAUUUUUCUAAUCGCAUUUGCCCUUGUUAAAGGGGAGACUGCUGAGGGAUGAAGUUUUUUACUUAGAAAUCUCCGAUUGCACGUUGCACCGCAGCCUAACUUAUGUUUGAUCUCCGACAGAUACCCUUCAAUCAUCAGUGCAUAUAAUAACAUUGAUAAUGGCUGACAAGAUCCUCCUUCAACGCAUGUCUUCUGUAUUAGACAUAUUGCUCAGAAUUUUAUGCGGGAAAUCAAAGACAAGACGUUGCAGAAGAAGGUUGUCAACUCAGGUUACGCAUUAUCAAAACCUUCUUUCAAACACUACUGCGAAGAAAUAAGAUUGUUAAACACAGAUGCAAGACGGUGGAUCGAUAGUAUUCCAUUGGAGAAGUGGACUAAGGCAUACGACAACGAUCAAUGUUGGGGCCACAUGACAACAAAUCUUGUGGAAUUAAUGAACUUUGUCUUCAAAGGCAUCUGUAACCUACCUAUAACUGUUUUGGUGCAGGCAACAUAUUUCAGUCUAGGAGCGCUAUUUGAGACCAGACGUUCCAAAUGGAGUUCAGUGUUACAAUCUGGGCAGUUGUUCAGUGAUGCUUCAAUGAAAUUCAUUAGACAUGAAGCUGCCAAAGCAAACACACAUGUGGUCACAGUGUUUGACUGCACUAAAGGUUGGUAUAGUGUUGCCGAGUCCAUGGAUCACAAUGAGGGCAUGCCGAUGGGAUAAUACAGAGUCGAACUAGAUAGAGGUUGGUGCGACUGCGGAAAGUUUCAAGCCUUUCAUACGCCCUGCUCCCAUGUCAUUGUGGCAUAUUCAAAGGUUCGAAGGGAUCGAUCCUACUUGCUAUCUGACGUUUAGAAAGUCACCAUCCUAUCAAAUGUUUAUAAAAUUAGUUUUUCUAUAGUAGCAAAAGAGGAUUACUGGCCAGAAUAUCAAGGGGACAUCGUCUGGCACAAUGAAGUUAUGCGAAGGAAGAAAAAGGAUCGCCCAAACAGCACCCGCAUUCGAAUCGAAAUGGAUACGGCGAACAAAAUGGUUAGAUUAUGUAGUUCAUGCCGUCAACCAGGUCACAAUCGUACUAACUGUCCUAGUGUUGGAACGAGCACAACCAGAUAAAUUUACAUGUACCUCUGUUGCAAUAUAUAAAAACCUAAAUUUGUUUUAUAUUAUAAGUUUGUGAGGAAAAUACCAUUAUAUAAACAAUAACACAAACAAUUAAAACAACUACAAUACAAGAACUAUGCGAUUACAACCAUCAAAAUAAUUUUGAACAUGUAAUGCAUCAUCCUAUGAACGUCUCGGUCAGUCUUAAUAUUCACCCAUUCACGCACUUCUUCAUUUUGGUUGAACGUGGACACAAGCCAUUGGAUUCUUAUAAUCCUUUCACCAUCUCCAAUUUCUCCAUCUAACCAAAUGUUCAACGUCCGAUUAAGACGUUCAAACAAAUCUAUAUUCCAGAGUCGAAUCUUUAUCGGAGACGUAACGAUGGAAAAUAUUAAAUCGACAUUUCUCUUGUGAAUGUAUUCAGACAUGGUUAAAACACAAAAAUUUGAAGGAGAGUGGAGUUGAAUGAAAGAAAAUAUGGUAGCAGGAGAAGAUUUUUUGUGAAAAAUAUUGCAUCCAGGGUGAGGUAUUUAUACAUAGGAGAUAUAAAAUGCAUGCGCCAAGAGGCUUGGCGCUUACAUGUUAAGACAUGCAGGCGCCAUGGGCAUUGGCGCCUCCUCAUGAGGCUUCCAAUGCAGGCGUCAAGGUCUUAGGCGCCUCCUCUUGGUUCAAGACGGAUGCGCAAAUUCAUCUGAUGUAUCUUUUUUUAAAUGUGGUUAUUUUAGAAAUUUUUUUAAAAUUUAUUAUUUUGAAAUUAAUUUUAAAAAUGAUUGGUUAUUUUUUAAAAAAUCUAGUUUUUGGUACGUUAUUUUAAUUAAAAAAUUAGAAACAUUGAAAAGUAUUUGUUAUGAGUAGGUUUCCUAUUCUAAAGCCGACUAUACUUUCUUUUAUAGGUUUUAUUAUUAUUUUUAUAAUCAAAGUGAAUUGUAUUAAAAUAAAGAACAUAUUGGGAUAGCAAUGUAUAUUCGGAGAGCAGUGUAUAUUCAUGAGUAUCAUUAGUAGUUCUCCCCUUAGUAACUUACUAAAUAUGGUAUCUGUAUGACUCUAAAUUUUAACCUAUAUUAUUUUCAUAUCAUUUUAUCAUACAUUAUCUCAUGUAUAGUGAAUUAGCGUUUUGUGUGAAUUUAUUUUUAAAUAAUUAUUAUUUUUAAAAAUAAUAUUAAAAUAAUUUUUUUUGAAAAAUAUAUAAAUAUAACCACUUUUUAGAAAAAAAAAUAAUUCGGAUAAAGUAUGCGUCAUACCAAAUGGUGCAUCGUUUUGAUAACUGAACUAAUGUGUUAUGUUUAGUGGCUCAUGCAUGCAGUUCAAGCCAAUGUAAUUGGCAUAUGCUUUGGGAUGUUGCACUAUAACGUCAUUGCAUAUGGCGCAUGCAUGCAUGCAUAAUGCAUGCGUCACUCCAUGUGUCUACUGCUUUUGCUUUUACCUCUAUAAAUACAUAAUCACCUACCAUUAUUUUUCACACAUCUUCUUACCAUCUUCUUCUAUUUUCUUCAAUUUUCUUCCAUUUAUUCUCAAAAUAUCUUCAUAUAUGUGUCUUUAUAUUCACAAGAGAAAUGUUGAUUUAAUUUAUUCGGCAGUAAAGCCUCCGAUGAAGAUUUAACUAUGGAAUAUAGAUACGUUUGAACAUCUUAAAAGGACUUUGAUACGUUGGUUAGAUGGAGACAUUGCCGAGGAUGAAAAGAUCAGAAGAAUCCAAAGGCUUGAUACCACGUUCAACUAAAAUGGAGAAGUUCGUUUCUGGGUAAAUGUUAAAACUGGCAGAGAUGUUCAUAUGAUAAUGUAUAGUUCUCACAAAUUAUUUUGAUGGUUGUAAUCGCAUAGUUAUGUUGUUUAGUUGUUGUAUUUAUUUGUGAUGUCGUUUAAUUGUUGUAGUUGUUUGCGUUGUUUAAUUAUUGUUUACAUUAUUGUUUAGUUGUUGUUUUCAAGUUAUUGUAACUGAAUGUUAUGAUAUUUAUGAAAUGAAAGUUGUUUUUAAUAUAAAGCAAAAGGGUUACAUUUAAAAUUAUGUUGUUGUGCGUGGUCUAACAUUGAGACAGUUUGUACAAUUAUGUCUGGGAUGCAACAUGAACUACAUAAUCGUACCAUUUUGUUCGUCAUAUCCAUUUCGGUUCGAAUACUGGUUCUUUUUAAGCGGCCCUUUUCUUUCUUCGCAUUAUUUCAUUGUGCCUCAGUAUGUCCUCUUGAUAUGCAUGCCAUAAACAUUGUAUAGGUUUAUGGCUUGAUAUGGUAGUUUUCUUUGAACUAUGAUUGUCGGUGAAGACAAUGAAAUCUUACAUGUUAUUUUCAAUCAAGGUGGAGAUUGUUAGGGUUGGUAGAAAAUAUAUAUGUUGAAGAAGUCACACAUCGCUUAAUUUUGUAAAGGAAAAAAGGAGUCCAAAGCUAUAUAAUGGAUUCAAGUUCUUCAUUAUAAGAUGCAUCAGUCCAAAACACUUUAAGUUUUUAUUUGAAUUUCUUUGUUCUCUUAUACUCUUGUGUUAGAGUGUUGUGAGAUGUAAUUAAGUAUUAAUUUUAAAGAAUAUGAGUAUAUUGGGGUCUGGGCGUGAUUGAGAAUAUAUUAUAUAUCGUAACAAUUAUCACAUAGUUUUAUUCUUUGGGGGUAUUGUCAUACCCCAAUUUUGUCCGGGUAAGGAAAAAUCUUCAACCAGCAUUUACUACCCAAUGUUAAGAGACAUGAAUUUUAUCUUAAGACAUAGGUUCUAUUUUAGGUUUUUUCAGUCCUUUAUGACAUCAAGUCUUUAAUGACACUUUCAUCUGUUAAGAUCCUUAAGAAAAUAUCUGCUGCAAUUGUCUUUUACUGAAGCAUGGGAUGGUAUGUGCAUUUUUGGCUAACAAAGCCCAUUUUGGUUUACCCAUGAGAUCUCUUUGUUUCAAAGGUCCAUUUACAUAAACGUGUCCAUAAUUAAAAGUGUGGUUUGAAUCUUGUUACAUUACUAAUCCAAAAUCCAUUUGACUAUUAGUAAAGUAUUAAGAGUCAUGGAUAUUUUUUAUGAUCACUCAUCAUUAAACCCAUUUGCACAUCUCAAAUACAUAUGCCAAAUCUCUAAACCAUUCAUAAAAAAUCCUUAAACUAAACUUGCAUCUUUUCUAAGUGAGUAUGUUGGUUUAAGAUUAAGAUAUCACAUGCACGAGUAUUUAAUUGGUUUUUAUGAUCAAAGUUUGAAAGUGCAAAUAUUUUUGUGACAUGUUUUAUCUUAGGUUUUUUUGGCAUAUUUUAUUUUUAAUAAUAUUAAUGUGUUAAAGUUAAUCAAAUUGAAAAUCCAUUAAAUUGCAUUGUUGAGCCCAAUCCAUUUUCAGUUUGAAUUAUAGUUUAAAUUUUCUUUUGAUUAGCAUAGCUAAAUUAUUAAGGCAAGGUUUAAAGUAUUUAAUUGCAUGAUUAGAUGCAUAGUCCAAAAUUCAAUUAAAUCCAAAGUUUCUAAUAGUCCAAAGUAGUUACAUAGUUCUAAAAAAAAGGGAAGUUUCAAAUUAAAUUUACAUAUUGAAAAUAACUCCAAAUAAUCCAAAUUUACACAAAAAUCCAAAGGAGCAUUUGAUUAAUUUACAUGUUUCAAAAAUAAUCUAAAAUUCUGAAAAUAAUUGAAUAGAAUCUAAUGGUUUGAAGUAGUCUUCAGAGACUUUUUUCCAAAGCCAAUGGUUUGUAAGCCAGCGCCCAAUUUUAACUUUUCUUGUAGUGCCCCCCAACUCCAAAAGACAGUGCCCCUUUUCAAUCAAUUCAACAUCACUUCACCUGCAAAUGCAAAACAAAAUUAAAAAUUAAAAAAAAAUGCUUAUCAAAAUAAGCACUUAAAACAAACUGAAAAAUAAACCUUAAAAUAAAUAGAUUAUUUGGUUACACAUUGAACCAAAGAAAACGCCAAAAUACAUCCCAAUAUUCAAUCCAAAAACAACCUUAAAUCCAUAAGGUAAUUGUCCCACAAAAUCUGGAAACGGGAUUCAACAAGCAAUCUCAAAAGCAGAAUUCACAUAUAUAAACAAAAAUCAAUCAACAAAAGGAGGACACUGUUCUUGAAAUCCAACAGAACAAAUAAAAUCAAAGUAUUUUUAACCAAGCCAAGAACACGUUCUGAAAUAAUACAAGAAGAAAGCAUCAAUUUUUUUCUUUAAACAUCAAAACAACAAAUACACAUCUGUUUGAGAAUCAAGAAGAAAAUAAUAAAAUAUUUUCUUGUUAAACCAAAAAGUUUCAAAACAGCAGUGACAAUAUUCAAAACAAAAAGAAGAAGGAAAAGAGAAGGAAACGAAGGACUUAUCGUGAAAGAGGGAAGCAUCGCCGGAGGUUGACUUCGAAGAGUAAGUCCAUUCUCGUUCACCUUUCCAUGCCAUCAUCUUCGUUUCUUCGCGUGGGUUAAAACCCCUCUUUCAAUUUCUUCAAAAAACAUUGUUGCAGAGCUUUAAAUCUGGGUUUUUAGAGUUAGGUUUUGGAUGUUUGACUUUCGCUAUUUAGGUUAAACUAGAGUUUGUUGGCCGCACAAGAGAGAGAGAGGGUAUUAGGGUUUAGGUCUUCUUUUGUUUUGGGGUACCGAUCCGAACAUUGGAGAAGUAUUUUGAAGAAAACAAGGUUGGAUUCGGAAAGAGCGGCCAAAAUAAGUUAGGGUUCGUGUUUGGAAGUUUUGGUUUUGAGGUGGUUGGUCGCCGGAAGAGACGGUGGCGCCGCUGCGGUUGGCUGGCCGCCACCGUCUUCUCCGGUCAAGGUUGGCUGUGAGAGGGGCGGUGAUGAAACGUUUAAAUUACAGAGCAACUUGUUGGGAGAGAGGGAAGAGAGAGAGUGAGAACGGAAAAAUGAUCUCUCUCUCUCUGAAAUUUCCUUUUUAUACGUUGGUUAAGUUGAAGGCAUGGGUGCCACGUGGCCCCUUCUGGUGGCGCCACUUGGUUGGUCAACCAGUGGAUCCUCUAUGGAUCCCCCCACCAUAUGGUGGUACAUCCUCGUACACCUCUCCUUGAUCUGUUGACAAAGUCAGAGUAUUCCCAUCGUGUGGCCCAGAUUUUCCUAGAAAGUCUUUGUUAACCAAGCCAUUUAGGGUUUUUGGCAUUUUCGUUUGGGUCAACUCUGGUUGGGCCCAAAGACCUUUUCCCUAUUCAAACCCCCUAUUUUAUUUCCAGCAGCACCUUGAGUUGGGCUUUUCCCUCACUUAGCCCAUCUGCUUUCAUUUUUAAUUUAUUUCACUUAUUUUGUUUUAUUUCUAUACAUAUAAAAAAUACAAUAGACUUUUGUGACUAUUAAAUAAAAAUAAGACAAUGCUUUAGUUUACUUACUUUAUUUCAAAAUUAUAAUUAUAUUAUUAUUAUUAUUAUUAUUAUUAUUAUUAUUAUUAAUUUUUAAUAUUAAAUAUGUAAUUAUAUUAUUAUUAUUAUUAUUAUUAUUAUUAUUAAUUUUUAAUAGUAAAUAUGCAAUUAUAUUGUUAUUAUUAUUAUUAACAUUUAACAAAUAUGCAAUUAUUUGGUUAUAUUCAUUAUUUGUUUUUAAUUACUUAUUAUUUAAUUAAAAUAAUCUAUUAAACAUUUAAUUAGUUAAUUAUAUCAUUACUAAUGUCAUUUAUAAUUUAGAUAAUUGUUUAUUUUGUGGAGUGUAUGUGUAUGAUUAUUCUUUAUUUAUUUAUUUAUACCGAACCUUGAGCGCACACGAAAUGACAUAUUAUAAUUAUGACAAAAUUAUGUCGCUGUCACCGAUUUAAAAUCAUUCGAGCCAAUUUCAAAGAUAAAUCACAUACUUCUCGAUUCAAAGUCGAGCCCAUUUUCAAAACACCUUUGUAAGUCGAUUACUUGUAAAAGUAUCGCCAUCAACCUCACAAGAUAAAUCACAUACUUCUCGAUUCAAAGUCGAGCCCAUUUUCAAAACACCUUUGUAAGUCGAUUACUUGUAAAAGUAUCGCCAUCAACCUCACAUGGCUUACUCUUGGGCCUUCUUACAAUGAGACAUAUUCGGUUUUUAUUAAUCGAUUAGAUGAACUAUUCAAUAAAUAAAUUCAAUUCAUUCACGAAAAUACAAAUUUUAACACCUCGAUCCAACAUUGACUAUUCUUUAUUAAGAAUUAAAAUACUUAAUUACAAUUAAACAUUAUUUCACUUAGAAAUAAAAGAGGUAAUGGUUUUGAGUUUUCAACUCCUUUCCUCGAUUAUUUAAACACGAAGUCUUAUACUCGAUUAAUCGAACGAUCGUCCUUUCUAAUCCACCUAAGCGCAAAUAAACCGAAUUCUUUCACAUUAAGAAAUAAGAAGGGAGAUGACUUUGAGUCUUCAAUUUUUUCUCCUCGACUAUUUGAAUACAAGUUCUCUUCCUUGGUUGGUCAAAUAAUUGUCGUUCCUCUACAAACCUCCAAAUCCCGAUUAAAUCAAAAUAUUUUCACAGUAAGCUAAAUGGAGAGGGAGUUGACUUUGAGUUUUCAACUUCACUCUUCAAUUGGUCGAAUACGAGUUCUCUUACUCGGUCAGUCGAAUAAUUAUCAUUUUUCCGCAAACAUACAACUUAAUCAAAUCAUUUUCUUAACAAACUAUACGUAAAAGGAGAUGGUUUUGAGCUUUCAACUCCUCUUCUCAAAUGCUUGGAUAUGAGUUGUUUUACUCAGUCGUUCAAGUACUUGUCGUUUAUUAUAAAAUAUGUCAAUCUUAUACAACCUUAUCUUCACAAUUAAAGAUGAAAUAAAAAGCGGUCUAGAGUCUUCUAUUCCCUUUCUCGAUUAUUAGGAUACGAGUUGUCUUACUCGAUUAUCCGAGUAUUCGUCAUCCUUCCAAAACACCUUAAUUAUUAUUAGAUUUUUCCUAUAAUUAAAGAUGAAAAAGAAAGUAGUGUAGAAUCUUCUACCCUUUUCCCGACUGUUAGGAUACGAGUUGUCUUACUCAACCAUCCGAGUGAUCAUCACCCAACUGAAAACAUCUCAUCCAAUCAAAAACACCCAACAUAUUAAUUCAACCAAUCACCCCCGUGUGACCAAAACUCUUUUCAAGAGAACACCAUUUAAUCCUUUCUAAUGCGCAUAGCAAACCAAUGCUUAAGCUUUCACCGAGAGUAGACAAACCAACGUUUAGCCUUUAGAACGAGAUCUAAACAGUUGUUCAUUAAAAAACACCAACCAACCGUAGUUCCCCGAACUACGAAUGCUCUGAUUUCCUUAUUACACCAUAAGGAUACGUAGGCAGGAGAUUGAUGUAUCUUCGCGAGCACACUAAUGAAAAACCUCCCCUUUCCCUUUCUAAGGUUCUCAUCCAUUUCCACUUUAAAUAAUUUUAUAACCCAAAGAUAACAAACAAACAUAAAUUAACCCUCGAAACGCACAUUAGAACUAAAAGGUUCCCGUUGAGUACAACGGAUGUAAGGGGUGCUAAUACCUUUCCCUUACGUAAUCCACUCCCAAACCCGAAUAUGGUUGCGACGACCAUUAUUCUAUUUCCUAAAAAGUUUUAUAGAUAUUUUCCUAUUCCUUCAUUGGGAUAAAUAAAGUUCGGUGGCGACUCUGUUCGAACGUAUAUUUUUUCCGCGACCAUCGCGAGGAAUCGCAUUUUUUGAGAUGCGACAAAUGGAGACUCUGCUGGGGAAUAGCUCCAAGCAAAAGAGAGUGAAGCCUAAUCUAGUUCAGUUUCUGUAUUGUGUGUUAACCUUGUUUGUUUAUCUGUUAUUUUUUAUUCUGCCAUUAUUAUUCUAUCAUAAUUAUUAUAUUGUGACUUAUUGACUAUGUCUUAUUUGGGGUUCUCUGGUUGGUGAUACUUUGUGAGAUAGGCUCUCCACCCGAGUCUGAGAAAAACCAUAAGGUUAAGUUGGUGGUCGUGUAGUGGGCGCCCACAAGGAGUCUUCCUUGUUGGGAAGAAACGAAGACCCCGCCUAGAGGAGAUUCUCUUGAGAUACUAUUGCCCGACGAGUCUUCGUCACAACGAUAGUAUUCUCAAAUUGGAUUAAUGACUCUAGGGACCUUUUAGCCCAUUAUAUCUGGUGGUUAUGUAGUAUCUACCUGAAAAGUCCCAGACUUAUUGGGUUAAUACGAAAUCCCCAAUCAGAUGAGAUCCCUUGGGCGUAUUACUACCUUACAGUGGUAUUCCCAACCUCGAUCUAUGACUUUGAGAACCUUAUUAGAACCUUGGACUCGAGAGUUUUGUAGUAUGGUCCCACUAGGAGUCUUCCUCUUUGGGACCAUACAAAGGCCUCACCGAAACGAGACUCUGUUUGGAGAUGUUAUUCGCAGAUGAGUUUUCAUCAUGACAAUAACUUUCCUAAAUAUUGAUUGAUGACUUUGGGAACCUUUUAACUUUAGCAUCCUCCCAAAAGGGUUUUGUUUAGUAACCAAGAAUACCCGCUCUCACGACCUGUAUAUUAACUUACAUGUGACAUGCAUAAUAUCAUUCAUAGCAUAACAUUCAUAUUAUUUUAUUUCCAAGGAAUCUGAGUAUCAUGAGUUGCAGGAAUUCAAGAAACAUGGAAUCAAGCAAAAGAAACAUUUACUCUUUCAAGCUUCAGUUCAAGGAUCCCGAUCUAAAGAGCUUACGUGACUUGGUCUCUCAGAUGCACCCGGUAUACCAAAUCAACUUUGGGAAGAAUUAUGGCAACCUGCCUAGCAUCCUCAAUCAACGAGUAGGACUAUACAACUUUAAUCACUUUGGCCCAAUUUCAUGACCUACCUUUAAGAGCUUCCCAUUCUAAAGACUUUCCAGCUAGCACCAACGUUGGAAGAAUCGAGCGUCUUGUUAGGAUUCCUAUGAAGAACAAGCCACUAUUUGAAGGGAUAGAUGAAUCUUUGCCCCUUGAGGUCAUUGCUAGUGCGCUUCACAUGGAUGAAAAGGAAGCAGAGGCUAACUUAGAGACCAAAGGGAAUACCAACGGAUUUUUAGUAAGUUUUCUUUUGGAAAGAGCUCAUACCCUGUUGAAGGCAGAAAGUUGGGAUGCUUGUUACUCUGCUAUUUCAUUGGCCAUCUAUGGCGUUAUCAUGUUCCCGAAUAUGGAUGGUUUCGUAGACAUGACUGCUAUUUAUGUUUUCCUUACUAGAAACCCAGUAUCCACUUUGUUAGCCGAUGUCUACUAUUAUAUAAGUCAUAGGUAUACUAAGAAGAAGGGAUUGAUUUCUUGUUGUGCUCCUUUAUUGUAUUAGUGGUUUCUAGAACAUCUUCCGAAGACAUGUGCUUGGGUUGAAUAGACAGAUGUUAGUUGGCCUCAGAGAUUGGGAUCACUCCAAUUUGAAGAUCUCUCUUGGUACUCCAAAGAAUACAUCAACAUGGAUAUCAUAUUCAGUUGUAGAGAUUUCCCAAAUCUACCGCUUAUUGGAACUCAAGGAUGUGUGAAUGCUAACCCAGUUCUAUCACUCAGACAACUCGGCUACCCAAUGGAAGGCCCUCUAGAGGCAAAUUCUUUGGAAGCUUUCUUGUUACUUGACUUUGGGGCUGAGAAUCCUAGCUUAUUCCAGCGAAUCAAAGAAGCUUGGAGAAAUGUCAAUCGAAGAGGGAAAGCUGAGUUAAGGAGAGCAAAUGGGAUUAUAAAAGAACCAUAUUUUCAGUGGGUAAAGGAAAGGGUGCAGAUGAUUAAAAUGCCAUUUGUCAUUCGGACACCUAUACCUCUUCCUGAACCUAAGCUCACCCAUGUCCCUAUUGAAGAAAUGGAAGAACUCAAGACCACCAUGGCAAAGCUAGGAAAAGAGAAUGAAGAGUUGCAGAUAAAACUACAACAAACCAUCAAUGAGAAAAACAAUAUGAAGUGGGAGCUCGAGAGAAAAGAGGCACAGCUUAAAGCCUAUGUGGAAAAGUUUAACAAGGAGGAGUAUAAGAGGAAGAAGAUCAAGGUGGGAUUAGAACAAGCUGAUCAUUGUUUAGAUACCCUUAAAGGUCAACUAUGACAAGCUCAGAAAGAAUUUCAAGACAAUGAGCGUUGGUGGCAUCUAGCCACAAAGGAAAACAAGACGAUAAGGGAUACACUUGGGGCUCAGAUAAAAGAACUCACCAAUUCUAUUCGUCAUGCAAAAGCUGAAGUAGAUCAGGAGCUCCGACUCAAGAAUAUAGCCACUGAAGCUUCUAGGGUGUCACCCAUGAUAUGGGAGGAGAAGUGUCGAGAAGUAAGAGAUGCAAGGGAAUCUGUCAGCUAUUGGAAGAACCAGCUAGAGUCAUUACGCCAAGACAACUCCAUAUGGUUGAAAGAGUGAGACUAUGUGAUUGAAGAUUAUGAAUCCUUUAAGAAGACCAUAGACUUCUUACAAGGAGAUAGGGAUAAGUUUCAUGCGAAACUUGAUGGGCUAGUAGGGUUUUGUAAUUGGGCGGCUAAAGAAUUGCCAUGGAAGUUGAGAGACGCAGUCGAAGAGUUGAAAGAAGAUAGCACUCCUCCAGCCAUAAUCAGUUUCAUUCUGCUCUGUAAAGGGUUGCUGAAGAGAUUCAAUGAGGAACUAUAAGAGCUUCAGGCCAGAAGGCCAGCUGUUUAAUUUGCUUAUGUCUUGUAUUUUGUUCCUUUAACAAAUGUACUUUUGAACUAUGACCUUCUUUGAACCCCUACGUUAUGUACUUAAAUGAAUGACGUUUAAAAAUUACUUCAUUAUUGUUAUUCUAAGUAUUUCUUGUUUCUUCGAAUUACUAACAACUAAUGAAACUCGAAUGAUUCCCUGAAAAUAAAAUAUGCAUAACAUUCGCAUCUUCAUUAUACGUCAAGCUUCAUAAAAAUUCCAAAAAACUUACCCAAACUUUUUACCCUUUAUCCAGCCACACUGACUAAUCAACAUCGAUACAAGACGCGAAGCAAAUACAAGAUGACAUUAGAGCAAGUUGAGGCCAAUCAGGUUACCAUGAGGACAGACAUCAAUACAAUCCAGGAGAAGAUGGAUCAGUUGUUGGAGACAAUGCCCACGAUCGCUCAGAGAGAGAGGAGUGAGGAGGAAGAAGCUAGGGAAAAAAGAAAUGAUAGAACGCCAGGUCUGAAUCCCCAAGACGAAGGUUACAUCCCCACCAAGAAGAGAUUGGUUCAGAUGCCGGUAGGAGGAAAAGGAGAUGGAGACCGUGCAAAACCUUCUGAUACGUCUACUCAUCAUGGAUCCUAAAUUGGAGAUGACUAGUAUGAUGCAUUCUAUAUGUCUGAUCAACCAAAACCUAAGAUACUUCUAGAAACUGUUGUAGAUAGGCUUCGUGCCCUGGAAAAGAAAAUCAAAGCCAUAGAAGGAAACAAUAUCUUCAGUGCUUCUGCCAUGAACAUGCGUUUGGUAUCAAAUUUAGUCAUCCCGACUAAAUUUAAAACUCCUGAUUUCGAGAAAUAUAAAGGACAGACUUGUCCAAGAAGUCACCUGGUAAUGUACUUCAGAAAAAUGGUUGCUCAUACCGAAAACGAAAAACUACUUGUACACUAUUUCCAAGACAGUCUGAGUGGAGCAUCUCUGAGAUGGUACAUGAGCUUAGGUGAAACAAACGCCAUAUCCAGAAACUAUAAAGGAAAGCAACAAGCUUCAUAUGGUCAAGUCGCCGCCGUGGUGCCUAUACCCUAUCAACAACCAAUGCAGCAACAACAAAUGUAUCAACCACAACAUCAACAACAUCAUCAUCAACAAAAUACAGCACCACCAAGACAAUUCAAGCCAAGACCUUCAAGAAGGCAACUUGAUCCCCUACUAGUACCUUAUAGUCACAUAUUCCCAUAUCUACAAAAGGAGGGCCUUCUAACAUUGAGGGAGUUAAAACCAGCUGUUUUUCCAUAUCCACCUGAAUACGACGCUAACGCCCAUUGUGAGUUUCACAUGGGAGCACCUGGUCAUACCUUGGAGAAUUUCUUUGCAUUUCAAAAUCGGGUACAAGACUUAAUCGAAGCGAAAGCUGUCUCAUUCACUCCAAGACGCCCGAACGUGAACACCAACCCUAUGCCAACGCAUAAGGACGCUUCCGUCAGUGUCAUUGAGGAGAGUGAUCAAGGCAAAUUGAUCCGUAAGGUUGAAGAGAUUCAUACCCCUAUCACCAUGAUAGGAGCACAAUGGCUGAAGAGUGGUUUAAUCCCGGAGGAGCUAGUUGAGGAAGAGAACAAUAAGGAGUUGAGAAGUUUUAUACAAUAAAUACUAGAUCAAGGCGAGUUACAAAUAAAUUGUCAUGUCAAGAGCAAGCACCAGGAAGAGAUAGUCGUGGUGGACAUCCCCUAUGAUGAGGAUAGAGUAGAAAUACCCAUAAGCCCGUUGGUGAUAGAGUUCCCAGCACCAUUCAAAUAGAAAAAUGAGAAGGCAGUCCCAUGGAUAUAUCAUCCCAAAGCUUUUACGCAGGGGCAGGAAGAUCAACCUUUGAUAAUCAACGAACCAAAUAUCACUUCAAUUGUGGGGCCAACAGGAAUGACGCGUAGUGGCCGAGUGUUCGCAUCAAGAACUACUGAUACCUCUGAAAGAGCUAAAGGGAAGGAGGCUACUGUCCAGAUCCUCAUCCCUAAUCAAGGAAUGCAAGACAUGCACCUGUCUCCUAAAGCUGUUGUCAUUCGUGAGGAGGCUGAGGAGUUUUUGAGAAUAAUCAAGAAGAGCGAUUAUAAGGUGGUGGACCAGCUAAACCAAACACCUUCCAAAAUUUCCAUGUUAUCUCUACUGCUCAACUCAGAAGCAUACAGGAAUUCGCUGCUGAAGGUAUUGAGCGCCGCUCAUAUCACGAAGGAUAUAACAAUAAAACAGUUUGAUGAUGUGAUAGCUUGUGUGACCACUGGGAAUUUCUUGGGUUUUAAUGAUGAUGAGCUACCAAUCGAGGGAAAGAACCAUAACAAGGCCCUCCAUAUCUCCUUGAAAUGCAUAGAUACUAUACUGUCAAGAGUGUUAGUAGACACAGGUUCCUCACUGAAUGUCAUGCCGAAGACAACUUUGAUAAAGCUGCCAAUGGAAGGGAUAAGUAUGAAACCUAGUACCCUAAUCGUAAAAGCAUUUGAUGGCUCAAGGCGAGCAGUGAUAGGAGAAGUUGACUUACCAAAAACCUAGUACCCUAAUCGUAAAAGCAUUUGAUGGCUCAAGGCGAGCAGUGAUAGGAGAAGUUGACUUACCAACCAAGAUAGGUCCAACUAUUUUCAAUAUCACAUUCCAGGUCAUGGACAUACAUCCGGGUUACAGUUGCCUACUUGGGAGACCCUGGAUUCACUCCACAGGUGCUGUCACCUCUACUCUGCAUCAAAAGCUGAAAUUCAUUAUAAAUGUCAAGAUGAUUGUGAUUGGAGGAGUGGAAGACAUCUUGGUUAGUCACUUGACAUCUUUCCGAUAUAUUGAGGUAGAUGGUGAAAUCACUGAAACACCAUUCCAAUCCUUGGAAGUGGUAAACAUGAUGGCCGUCCAACGGACCUUGGAGGUCCCGAAAUCAGGACCAUCCAUGGCCUUGUGGCAAGGAGCUAAAGCCGUUAUGGAAAGUAAAGAUGCUCAAGACUGGGGCAAAGUGGUGGAAGUGAAAGAGAAACGAGACAAGUUUGGCCUGGGGUAUGACCCAUCAUCACACAAAGCCAGUAACCAACAUGACAAAGAACAAAUUCCUUCUGUGGAGAAAAUGUUCACUAGCACUGGCCACAUCUUUGGCAAGCAAGUGGCAAUGAUCAGUGAAGAAGACCGCAAGGAAGGGGUGUCCAGCUGGAUGCGUCAAGCCACACCUAAUGAAGAACUAGCAAACUGGAAAGCUGUGGAAGUUCCCCAAAUAUUUCAAAAGAAAUUUUAUCAUUUUAGAUAAAACCCUGUGCUCUGCCCAAGGCAUAGUGGCAUGUUGUAGGGCCUCCCUUAUCUUUUUCAAGAGUUUUUAUCAUUAAUGAAAUGACGUUUUGCAUUCAAAUUUUCGUUUCUUUUUCUUUCGUUUUGAUCUAUUUACAAAAAUGGCAAUCAAUUUUUAUGCACACACUUUCUAAAUAAACUGCAUAAAUCAUAACAUGCAGAAACACCACCGAGAUUAUUGAUAACAACACUGCUACGGUCCAAUAUAACUUUGAUUGUCCAAUCUACCAAGCUGAAGACGAAGUGGGGGAAGAUUGCGAGCUCCCUAAAGAGUUGGCCAGAUUACUCAGACAAGAAGAAAAGGUCAUUCAACCACACUAGGAAGACGUUGAAGUUAUCAAUCUGGGAACAGAAGAAGAUAAGAGAGAAGUAAGGGUAGGCGCCGCACUUCAAGAUACAGUGAAGACAAGAUUGAUAAAUCUCCUCCACGAAUAUGACGACGUGUUCGCUUGGUCAUACCAAGACAUGCCCGGAUUAGACACUGAUAUCGUGACCCACAAGCUUCCCCUUAAAGAAGAAUGCCCUGCUGUCAAACAAAAGCUAAGAAGAACUCGACCUGAUAUGACUCUCAAGAUCAGAGAAGAGGUGAGAAAGCAGUUUGACGCUGGUUUUCUGGAAGUCGCAAAGUGCCCAUAAUGGGUUGCUAACAUUGUACCAGUACCGAAGAAAGAAUGAAAAGUCCGCAUGUGCGUAGACUAUCGAGACUUGAACAGAGCCAGUCCCAAAGAUGAUUUCCCAUUACCUCACAUUGAUGUAUUGCUGGAUAACACAACUCAGUUCUCUGUGUUUUACUUUAUGGAUGAUUUCUCUGGAUACAACCAAAUUAAAAUGGAUCCUGAAGACAUGGAAAAUACCACGUUCAUUAACCCUUGGGGUACCUUUUGUUACAAAGUAAUGCCUUUCGGAUUAAAGAACAUUGGGGCAACAUAUAAACGUACCAUGGUGACUCUCUUUCACGACAUGAUUCAUGAAGAGAUUGAGGUGUAUGUCGAUGACAUGAUUGCCAAAUCCCAGACAGAAGAAAAGCACAUCACUAACCUGGGGAAACUAUUUGCUCGUUUGAGGAAGUUUAGGUUGAGGCUUAAUCCUAACAAAUGCACAUUUGGGGUUCGAUCUGGGAAGCUUUUAGGCUUUAUUGUAAGCCAAAAAGGAAUUGAAGUAGAUCCUGACAAGGUUCGAGCCAUUCAAAACAUGCUUGCACCGAGGACUAAAAAGAAGGUUCGUGGUUUCUUGGGGAGACUAAAUUACAUCGCCAGGUUUAUCUCUCACCUUAUGAAACAUGUAAACCAAUAUUCAAGCUCCUGAGGAAAAAUCAAGGCGUGGAGUGGAACGAUGACUGCCAAAUAGCCUUCGAUAAAAUCAAAGAAUACUUGCAAGAGCCACCGAUUCUGAUGCCCCCUGCAGAAGGGAGACCUCUCAUCAUGUAUCUAACUGUGCUCGACGAGUCCAUGGGUUGUGUAUUGGGACAACAAGAUGAGACUGGUAGAAAAAAGUAUGCCAUCUAUUAUCUAAGCAAGAAAUUUAAUGAUUGUGAGACCAGAUAUUCAUUACUUGAGAAGACUUGUUAUGCACUCGCAUGGGCCGCUAAGCGUCUCAGGCAGUACAUGCUAACUCACACGACUUGGUUGGUAUCUAAAAUGGAUCCCAUCAAGUACAUAUUCGAGAAACGAACUCUCACUGGUAGAAUUGCCUGAUGGCAGAUGUUGUUGUCAGAAUUCGAUAUCCAAUAUGUUGCGCAAAAGGCGAUCAAAGGGAGCAUAUUAGUAGACCAUCUUGCUCACCAACCGCUGGAGGAUUACCAAUCUCUGAAAUUUGACUUCCCAGAUGAGAACAUCAUGGCUGUUAAGGACGUUGAAGACUCCUAACUAGAGAAAAGUCUAGAACCAAGAGCAGGUUGGACACUCAUGUUUGAUGGCGCCUCAAAUGCAAUAGGCCAUGGAAUUGGGGCAGUGCUGAUGUCUCCCAAGAAUUUCCAUCUACCACUCACCGCAAAGCUUUGUUUUCCUGCACAAAUAACAUGGUCGAGUACGAAGCUUGCAUAUUAGGGUUGGAAGAAGCUAUUGAGUUGAAGAUCAAGAUACUAGAAGUAUUCGGGGACUCUGCUCUAGUCAUACAUCAGAUCAGAGGAGAUUGGGAAACAAGACAUGUUAACCUAAUUCCAUACCGGGAUUACGUGUUGAAGUUACUCCCAAAGUUCGACGAAAUCACUUUCUCUCAUAUUCCUCGAUAAGAGAAUCAUAUGGCAGAUGCCUUAGCAACUCUGGCUUCCAUGUACAAAUUGAUAUGGCCCAACCAUCAGCCUCAUAUUGAAAUUAGGCGUUUUGAUGAACCUGCUCAUUGCCUAACGACAGCGGAAGAGCCAGAUGGUAAACCCUGGUUCUUUGAUAUCAAACAGUAUCUGGAGAAGCGGGAAUAUCCGGCAAAGGCUUCCAGCCUUGACAAAAGGACCCUCCGGAGGUUGGCAUCAAAAUGCCUCUUGAAUGGAGAAGUAUUAUACAAGCAAAACUAUGACAUGGUUUUGUUGAGGUGUGUGGACAAAAAUGAAGCAGAUCAGCUUAUGAGGGACAUACACGAAGGGUCUUUCGGUACGCACGCCAAUGGGCAUGCCAUGGCAAAGAAAAUCCUAAGGGCAGGUUACUACUGGUUGACAAUGGAAGCCGACUGUUAUCAUUACACCAGAGCAUGCCACAAAUGCCAAAUCUAUGCUGACAAGAUACAUGUACCGCCUACCCCGCUGAAUGUCAUAGCAUCUCCUUGGCCUUUCUCUAUGUGGGACAUCGACAUGAUUGGAAUGAUAGAGCCCAAAGCAUCAAAUGGACACAGAUUUAUCUUGGUGGCCAUAGAUUACUUUAACAAAUGGGUGGAAGUCGCGUCUUAUGCGAAUGUCACAAAGCACGUAGUCGCCUGUUUCUUGAAAAAUAACAUCAUAUGUCGACAUGGGAUUCCCAACAAAAUCAUCACUGAUAAUGGGUCCAAUCUCAACAACAAGACCAUGGAUGAGUUAUGCGCAACAUUCAAGAUCGAGCACCACAACUCAUCGCCCUAUCGACCUAAGAUGAAUGGAGCUGUUGAAGCUGCAAAUAAAAAUAUCAAUAAAAUCAUCCAAAAGAUGGUUGUUACGUACAAGGAUUGACAUGAGAUGUUGCCUUUUGCAUUACAUGGUUAUCGCACAUCGGUACGAACUUCAACAGGGGAAACCCCUUAUUCCCUGGUAUACGGUAUGGAAGCAGUUCUCCCUAUAGAAAUAGAGAUUCCCUCGAUGAGAGUCUUGAUGGAGGCUAAGCUAGACGAGGCAGAAUGAGUUCAAUCAAGGUACGACGAGCUUAACCUUAUUGAGGAGAAACGCUUGAAAGUGUUAGGUCACGGUCAACUCUACCAAAGACGUCUUAAGAAGGCAUUCGGCAAGAAAGUUCGUCCCAGGGUGUUUCAAGAGGGAGAUUUAGUGCUGAAGAAAAUAUUGCCUAUUCACAAAGACUCCAGAGGGAAAUGGACACCAAAUUAUGAAGGUCUAUUUAUGGUGGUUAGAGCCUUUUCCGGAGGCGCUCUAAUUCUAGCAACUAUGGACGGUGAUGAGUUUCCGCUUCCCACCAAUACUGAUGCUGUUAAAAAGUACUUCGCCUAAAAAAGUGGAAUAAUAAAAGCCGCUAAAUCGAAAACCCAAAAGGGCGACACAGGAAAAAAUUGGUAUCCCGGUGGGUCAAAAACCCGAAAGGGCGAUCUAGGCAAAAGUUAGGGAUUAAUUCCAAGGCAAAAAGUUGUACUUACAGACAUUGGGCGUAUCCCCGAAGACAAAGAAUCAUUCUACCUUACUUUUCACAAGCAAAGUGCUCGAACUAUCAAAGACAUAAAGAUCAUAGCAGUGUCGAAACUCAAUAAGAACUCAAUUUUCAUUGCCAUUUUGCUUUUAUGCACAACAAUUACCUCAUUAAGGAAUUGCGUCUUUAUGUACAAUCACCCAUUUAAGGGUCAAAUCAAUAAAAGAGAAUUUUUCUCAACAAAAUGUGCCAGAAUCAUUUUUGUAUUUUAUCUGUCUGUUUGCAAAGCACCUUUUAUUUUUUAUAAACAUCACUUUUAAAAACUAUUAGAGAAAAUAAAACACAUGUUUGAAUAAAUUGGUAAAAUUGCUUUUGAAAUAGUAAGCGGACGAAUCCUUUAGUCCCCAAGAUUUAUUCUUGUUUUUCAUAAAGGUGUAGGACUGAUUGUAAAUGGUUAUGUUCCUUUCAACUACUAAUUCAUACCUCUCAUAAAUGUACUCAGGGUAUAGCCAGACUGGGGCAAGGCUCCAUCACAUUUCCAACAUAAGCAUUGAUAAAUCAUGGAUGAAGCAUCGCGUGUCGAGAAGUCUGAACCUUUCAGUAACUUGGAGCAACCCAAAUAUAUUCCCAAAACCACCUAGUAGGGGCAUUAAAACUUGAUCUCCAUUAAUCACCCCAAUAACAAAAGUCCACACUAUUGGCAUCAUACCUCAAAGUAAAAUGUCUUAACCGGGGCAUAUCCAAUUACCCAUUUGCAUUCUAACAUGCAUCAUAUAAAUCAUUCAUAAAUGGUUUUUCCUACCAAACAGAAAAAUUACAGAAACACGGUCAUAUCAAUCAUCAACAUACUCAUGCAUAUCCCUCCCGUAAAGUUAGAAGGUCAACAAAUAAAAAAAUCAUUCACAUUCCUACAUGCACAGCCAAAUAUCCCCAGCAAUUGCAUACCUGCAUGCAUCUCAUGCAUCAUCCCAUGGAUAGAAUUCCCACCUAAAGUGGGACAUCAUACAAAAAAAUCAAAAGUAAAAUAUCAGGAUCCAGGGUCAUUCAUGUGUAUCUUGGACAUUGCUCAUUUCCAAAUGAGGUAAUUACCCUGCAUAUGCUCGUAGGAUCAUUUUCUCAGCAAAUCAUUUUUUAACUUUAUAAUUAAAAAUGAUAUUCCCAACAUUUUUUUUUUACAAUCAUUUCUCCCCAAGCAGAGGUUACCCUAAAAAGUAUCUUAUGAGUUUUUUCCCCUGCAGAGCAUUUCUAGUAAAUCUCCCUCAAAAGGAGCCUUUUCAAAAAAUUCCCCCAACAGACGAAUAUUUGAGAUACCGCUUCAUUUAUCUGAAGAAUCUCAUUUGUCUGUUUGAGAUAUUGCUCUAAUAUCCUCGGAGAGUCUUAGAUUCAAUUAAGGUAUUUUUCCCUUGCUGGAAUAUCUUAAUUCUAUCAUAUAAGAUGCUGUUUCGACCCGAUACAGAGAAUCUCAUUUUUACUGUUUGAGAAGGUAUUUUUCCCUUGCUGGAAUAUCUUAAUUCUAUCAUAUAAGAUGCUGUUUCGACCCGAUACAGAGAAUCUCAUUUUUACUGUUUGAGACGCUGCUUCAUCAAUAUGAAGAGUCUCAUUUCAGAUUUUUCAAGAGAUAUUGCUUUAAUAUCCUUGGAGAGUCUUAGAUUCAAUUAAGGUACUUUUCCCUUGCUGGAAUAUCUUAAUUCUAUCAUAUAAAAUGUUGUUACGACCCAAUAUAGAGAAUCUCAUUUUUACUGUUUGAGAUGCUGCUUCAUCAAUAUGAAGAGUCUCAUUUCAUAUUUUUCUAGAGAUAAUACUCUAGUAUCUUCGGAGAGUCUUAGAUUCAAUUAAGGUACUUUUCCCUUGCGGGAAUAUCUUAAUUCUAUCAUAUAAGAUGUUGUUUCGACCCGAUACAGAGAAUCUCACUUUUACUGUUUGAGAUGCUGCUUCAUCAAUAUGAAGAGUCUCAUUUCAGAUUCUUUUAGAGAUACUGCUCUAAUAUCCUCGGAGAGUCUUAGAUUCAAUUAAGGUAUUUUUCCCUUAUUGGAACACCUUAAUUCUAUCAUAUAAGAUGUUGUUUCGACCUGAUAUAGAGAAUCUCACUUUUACUGUUUGAGAUGCUGCUUCAUCAAUAUGAAGAGUCUCAUUUCAGAUUCUUUUAGAGAUACUGCUCUAAUAUCCUUGGAGAGUCUUAGAUUCAAUUAAGGUAUUUUUCCCUUACUGGAACACCUUAAUUCUAUCAUAUAAGAUGUUGUUCCGACCUGAUACAGAGAAUCUCACUUUUACUAUUUGAGAUGCUGCUUCAUCAAUAUGAAGAGUCUCAUUUUAGAUUCUUUUGAGAUACUGCUCUUAUAUCCUCGAAGAAUCUUAGAUUCAAUUGAGGUAUUUUUCCCUUGUUGGAAUAUCUUAAUUCCAUCAUAUAAGAUGCUACUUCGACCCGAUACAGAGAAUAUCAUUGUUACUAUUUGAGAUGCUGCUUCAUCAAAAUGAAGAGUCUCACGCCAGAUUUCCUUUAUAUUACUCUAGAAUCCUGGAAAGCCUUGAGAUUUAGCUAGGGAUGCCAUUCCAUAUAUCUCGACUGAGAUGUCCAAGAUACUGUUCUGACGACUCACAGAAAGUCUUGACUGUUCCAUUUUACUGUAGGAUAAUGUCUUUUGCCAUUUCUCACCGUAUUUUUUCCUAUAUUUUCUUCCUUGCAUUUCCUAGGACAAAAUUUGGGUCUUCUUGUAUUUAAUUAUCUCCCACCGUGAAUGCAUGAAGACUGCUGUCAUUCUUACUUUCCGGUUUGAGGUAAUUAAAUAGGGCCAGCUGUCAUACCCCAAUUUUGUCCGGGUAAGGAAAAAUCUUCAACCAGCAUUUACUACCCAAUGUUAAGAGACAUGAAUUUUAUAUUAAUACAUAGGUUCUAUUUUAAGUUUUUUCAGUCCUUGGUGACAUCAAGUCUUUAAUGACACUUUCAUCUGUUAAGAUCCUUAAGAAAAUAUCUGCUGCAAUUGUCUUUUACUGAAGCAUGGGAUGGUAUGUGCAUUUUUGGCUAACAAAGUCCAUUUUGGUUUACCCAUGAGAUCUCUUUGUUUCAAAGGCUCAUUUACAUAAACGUGUCUAUAAUUAAAAGUGUGGUUUGAAUCUUGUUACAUUACUAAUCCAAAAUCCAUUUUAUUAUUAGUAAAGUAUUAAGAGUCAUGGAUAUUUUUUAUGAUCACUCAUCAUUAAACCCAUUUCCACAUCUCAAAUACAUAUGCCAAAUCUCUAAAUCAUUCAUAAAAAAAUCCUUAAACUAAACUUGCAUCUUUUCUAAGUGAGUAUGUUGGUUUAGGAUUAAGAUAUCACAUGCACGAGUAUUUAAUUGGUUUUUUAUGAUCAAAGUUUGAAAGUGCAAAUAUUUUUGUGACAUGUUUUAUCUUAGGUUUUUUUUUGGCACAUUUUAUUUUUGAUAAUAUUAAUGUGUUAAAGUUAAUCAAAUUGAAAAUCCAUUAAAUUGCAUUGUUGAGCCCAAUCCAUUUUCAGUUUGAAUUAUAGUUUAAAUUUUCUUUUGAUUAACACAGCUAAAUUAUUAAGGCAAGGUUUAAAGUAUUUAAUUUCAUGAUUAGAUGCAUAAUCCAAAAUUCAAUUAAAUCCAAAGUUUAUAAUAGUACAAAGUAGUUACAUAGUUCUCCAAAAAAAAAAGGGAAGUUUCAAAUUUAAUUUCAAAUUAAAUUUACAUAUUGAAAACAACUCCAAAUAAUCCAAAUUUACACAAAAAUCCAAAGGAGCAUUUGAUUAAUUUACAUGUUACAAAAAUAAUCUAAAAUUCUGAAAAUAAUUGAAUAGAAUCUAAUGGUUUGAAGUAGUCUUUGGAGACUUUUUUCCAAAGCCAGUGGUUUGUAAGCCAGCGCCCAAUUUUAAUUUUUCUUGUAGUGCCCCCCAACUCCAAAAGCCAGCGCCCCUUUUCAAUCAAUUCAACAUCACUUUACCUGCAAAUGCAAAACAAAAUUAAAAAUUAAAAAAAAUGCUUAUCAAAAUAAGCACUUAAAACAAACUGGAAAAUAAACCAUAAAAUAAACAGAUUAUUUGGUUUCACAUUGAACCAAAGAAAACGCCAAAAUACAUCCCAAUAUUCAAUCCAAAAACAACCUUAAAUCCAAAAGGUAAUUGUCCCACAAAAUCUGGAAACGGGAUUCAACAAGCAAUCUCAAAAGCAGAAUUCACAUAUAUAAACAAAAAUCAAUCAACAAAAGGAGGACACUGUUCUUGAAAUCCAACAGAACAAAUCAAAGUAUUUUUAACCAAGCCAAGAACACGUUCUGAAAUAAUACAAGAAGAAAGCAUCAAUUUUUUUCUUUAAACAUCAAAACAACAAAUACACAUCUGUUUGAGAAUCAAGAAGAAAAUAAUCAAAUAUUUUCUUGUUAAACCAAAAAGUUUCAAAACAGCGGUAACAAUAUUCAAAACAAAAAGAAGAAGGAAAAGAGAAGGAAACGAAGGAUUAUCGUGAAAGAGGGAAGCAUCGCCGGAGGUUGACUUCGAAGAGUAAGUCCAUUCUCGUUCACCUUUCCAUGCCAUCAUCUUCAUUUCUUCGCGUGGGUUAAAACCCCUCUUUCAAUUUCUUCAAAAAAACUUUGCUGCAGAGCUUUAAAUCUGGGUUUUUAGGGUUAGGUUUUGGAUGUUUGACUUUCGCUAUUUAGGUUAAACCAAAGUUUGUUGGCCGCGAGAGAGAGAGAGGGGGUAUUAGGGUUUAAGUCUUCUUUUCUUUUGGGGUGCCAAUCCGAAUAUUGGAGAAGGAUUUUGAAGAAAACAAGGUUGGAUUCGGAAAAAGCGGCCAAAAUAAGUUAGGGUUCGUGUUUGGAAGUUUUGGUUUUGAGGUGGUUGGUCGCCGGAGGAGACGGCGGCGCCGCCGCGGUUGACCGACCGCCACCGUCUUCUCCGGUCAAGGUUGUCCGUGAGAGGGGCGGUGAUGAAACGUUUAAGUUGCAGAGCAACUUGUUGGGCGAGAGGGAAGAGAGAGAGUGAGAAUGGAAAAAUGAUCUCUCUGUCUGAAAUUUCCUUUUUAUAUGUUGGUUAAGUUGAAGGCAUGGGCGCCAUGUGGCCCUUUCUGGUGGCGCCACUUGGUUGGUCAACCAGGGGAUCCUGUGAGGAUCCCCCAUCAUAUGGUGGUACACCCUCAUACACCUCUCCUUGAUUUGUUGACCAAGUCAGAGUAUUCCCAUCGUGUGGCCCAGAUUUUCCUAGAAAGUCUUUGGUUGACCGAGCCAUUUAGGGUUUUUUGCAUUUUCGUUUGGGCCAACUCUGGUUGGGCCCAAAGACCUUUUCCUUAUUCAAACCCCCUAUUCUAUUUCCAGCAGCACCUUGAGUUGGGUUUUUCCCUCAGUUGGCCCAUUUGCUUUCAUUUUUAAUUUAUUUCACUUAUUUUGUUUUAUUUCUAUACAUAUAAAAAAUACAAUAGACUUUUGUGGCUAUUAAAUAAAAAUAAGACAAUGCUUUAGUUUACUUACUUUAUUUCAAAAUUAUAAUUAUACUAUUAUUAUUAUUAUUAUUAUUAUUAUUAUUAUUAUUAUUAAUUAUUAAUAGUAAAUAUGCAAUUAUAUUGUUAUUAUUAUUAUUAUUAAUAUUUAAUAAAUAUGCAAUUAUUUGGUUAUAUUCAUUUUUUUAAUUACUUAUUAUUUAAUUAAAAUAAUCUAUUAAACAUUUAAUUAGUUAAUUAUAUCAUUACUAAUGUCAUUUAUAAUUUACAUAAUUGUUUAUUUUGUGGAGUGUAUCUGUAUGAUUAUUCUUUAUUUAUUUAUUUAUAUCGAACCUUGAGCGCACACGAAAUGACAUAUUAUAAUUAUGACAAAAUCAUGUUGCUGUCACCGAUUUAAAAUCAUUCGAGCCAAUUUCAAAGAUAAAUCACAUACUUCUCGAUUCAAAGUCGAGCCCAUUUUCAAAACACCUUUGUAAGUCGAUUACUUGUAAAAGUAUUGCCAUCAACCUCACAUGGCUUACUCUUGGGCCUUCUUACAAUGAGACCUAUUCGGUUUUUAUUAAUCGAUUAGAUGAACUAUUCAAUAAAUAAAUUCAAUUCAUUCACGAAAAUACAAAUUUUAACACCUCGAUCCAACAUCGAGUAUUCUUUAUUAAGAAUUAAAAUACUUAAUCACAAUUAAACAUUAUUUCACUUAAAAAUAAAAGAGGUAAUGGUUUUGAGUUUUCGACUACUUUCCUCGAUUAUUUAAACACGAACUCUUAUACUCGAUUAAUCGAACGACCGUCAUUUCUAAUCCACCUAAGCGCAAAUAAACUGAAUUCUUUCACAUUAAAAAAUAAGAAGGGAGAUGACUUUGAGUUUUCAAUUUUUUCUCCUCGACUAUUUGAAUACAAGUUCUCUUCCUUGGUUGGUCAAAUAAUUGUCGUUCCUCUACAAACCUCCAAAUCCCGAUUAAAUCAAAAUAUUUUCACAGUAAGCUAAAUGAAGAGGGAGUUGACUUUGAGUUUUCAACUUCACUCCUCAAUUGGUCGAAUACGAGUUCUCUUACUCGGUCAGUCGAACAAUUAUCAUUUUUCCGCAAACAUACAACUUAAUCAAAUCAUUUUCUUAACAAACUAUACGAAAAAGGAGAUGGUUUUGAGCUUUCAACUCCUCUUUUCAAAUGCUUGGAUAUGAGUUGUUUUACUCAUUCGUUCAAGUACUUGUCGUUUAUUAUAAAAUACGUCAAUCUUAUACAACCUUAUCUUCACAAUUAAAGAUAAAACAGAAAGCGGUCUAGAGUCUUCUAUUCCCUUUCUCGAUUAUUAGGAUACAAGUUGUCUUACUCGAUUAUCCGAGUAUUCGUCAUCCUUCCAAAACACCUUAAAUAUUAUUAGAUCUUUCCUAUAAUUAAAGAUGAAAAAGAAAGUGGUCUAGAGUCUUCUACCCCUUUCCCGACUGUUAGGAUACGAAUUGUCUUACUUGACCAUCCGAGUGAUCGUCACCCAACCGAAAACAUCUUAACCAAUCAAAAACACCCAACAUAUUAAUUCAACCAAUCACCCCCGUGUGACCAAAACUCUUUUCAAGAGAACACCAUUUAAUCCUUUCUAAUGCGCAUAACAAACCAACGCUUAAGCCUCCGCUGAGAGUAGACAAGCCAACGUCUAGCCUUUAGAUCGAGAUCUAAACAGUUGUUCAUUAAAAAACACCAACCAAGUUCCUCGAACUACGAAUGCUCUUAUUUCCUUAUUACACCAUAAGGAUAUGUAGGCAGGAGAUUGUUGUAUCUUUGCGAGCACAAUAAUAAAAAACCUCUCAUUUUCCUUUCUAAGGUUCUCAUCAAUUUCCAUUUUUAAUAAUUUUAUAACCCAAAGAUAACAAACAAACAUAAAUUAACACUCGAAACGCACAUUAGAACUAAAAAGUUCCCGUUGAGUACAACGGACGUAACGGGUGCUAAUAUAUUUUCCUUACGUAAUCCACUCCCGAACUCGAAUAUGGUUGCGACGACCAUUAUUCUAUUUCCUAAAAGAUUUUAUCGAUAUUUUUCUAUUCCUUCAUUGGGAUAAAUAAAGUUCGGUGGCGACUCUGUUCGAACGUAAAUUUUUUCCGCGACCAUCGCGAAGAAUCGCAUUUUUUGAGAUGCGACAGGUAUUAUUCUCUACGUUGAUUCCUCCCAACAAAUCUUUCACCAGAUUUCUCAAAUGAGGGCACUGAGCAAGUAUUAGAACCAAAUGGUAACCCCAUUUUCCUAGGUAGCCAAUCCUUCAUCUUGCAAGCAAAUUAUGGCACUCUUGAUGGAGGAGUAAGACUAGGAAGAACAAGUGAUUUAAAGUGUCUAGUUACCGUCUUACAAAUUUAGAAUCAAAUCCCUUCAAAUUUAGAAAAGAUAAUUUUGAUAUACAUUAUAACGGCAAGAAUAACAUUGCUCUAAAAACAAGUGAUGCUCGUGAGACGCAUGGUUACUUUAUUACUAGAAAAUAUCCAAAGCUUAAAAGGCUUUUGUUGACUCAAUAACUUAACACGUGUGUGAAACAUUUGUCACAUGCUUGUUCCAAAUAAAAGGGUGCUUCACAUCAUUACUACUGUAUUAUAUAUAGAGGCAUAUAGUUAACCAACAAACUCACAAACAAAAACAUCCUUAAUCACCUAACAAUGAAACCUCUUUCACCACUCACCCUUUCCUUUUUCCUCUUUGUUUUCAUCACCACUCUUUCACUAGCUUUCUCAAAUGAAGAUGUUGAGCAAGUAUUGGACGUUAAUGGCAAGCCCAUUUUCCCCGGUGGCCAAUACUACAUCUUGCCAGCACAUCCCUGGCCUCCGGCGGAGGAGUAAGACUCGGAAGAACGGUGAUUUAACCUGUCCAGUCACCGUCCUACAAGACCCGCGAGAAGUUAAAAACGGUCUACCAGUGAAGUUUGUUAUACCAGAAAUAUCUACUGGUAAUAUUUUCACUGGUACACCAAUUGAAAUAGAGUAUACAAAGAAACCUAAUUGUGCAAAUCAUCAAUGGUUAGUAUUUGUUGACAUUGUUAUUCAAAAGGCCUGUGUUGGUAUUGUGGUCCUGAGAAUUACCCUGGUAUUCAAACAUUGAGUGGAUUAUUUAAGAUUGAGAAGCAUGAAUCUGGAUUUGGCUAUAAGCUUGGAUUUUGUAUUAAGGGUUCUCCUACUUGUUUGGAUGUUGGAAGAUUUGAUAAUGAUGAAGCUGGAAGAAGGUUGAAUUUGACUGAGCAUGAGUCCUUUCAAGUUGUGUUUGUUGAAGCUGAGGCUAAUGAUGCUGAGUUUAUUAAGUCUGUUGUUUGAAUUUUAGUUUAGUAUAAUUAAGCUAGAUUGUGUGAGUUUUAGUUCUUGCACAGUUUUAAGCCUAUAAUAAAAUGGAAAUAUUUGUGUUCAAUGUUUUCUCUCUUCAAUUAUUAUUCUCUCUCUCUUUCUCUCUCUAUAUAUCAUUAUCUCUCUCUAGUUGUGCAAAAUCAUUAAGGAUAAGUUUUGUUAUUAUAUUUUUGGAUUGAGAUCUUAAAUGGUUUUGUCAUUGAUUGUUUCAAGGAAUGUUCACGUGGAUACAGCACAAAUGUAUGGUCAAACUGAGGUACCAUGCCAUAGGUACCAACCCUAUUAUGUUUAGGCAGUUUUGGUAACUUUUCAGGGUAAAACAGUAAUGUACUUUGCCCACGAGGAGCUCGUGGUUAUGAUUUUGUAUAAAUAACUAUUCUUUCUAAAAUAUUGUUUUUUCUAUUAUUUGAUUUCUAAAUUAUAAAAAUUAUGUAUAUUUUUUUAAUUAAUUAUGUGUAGGCGUAGGUUUUUGGUAUAUUUUUUUAAUUAAAAAAAAUUAGAAACAUUGAAAAGUAUUUGUUAGGUGUAGGUUUCCUAUUCUAAAGCCGACUAUACUUUCUUUUAUAGGUUUUAUUAUUAUUUUUAUAAUCAAAAGAGAGAUUUUUUUUUUAAAUAAUCAAGUAUUUUAAUUUAAUUUUUAAAAUAAUUAUUUUUUAAAAAAUUUAUGAAAAUAAUCAAUUUUUCAAAAACAUUUAAUAUAAGCGUCAAUUGGAUUGACGUAUCCAAUGAAAAUGUUAUACAUUGGUGUCACAUGCACUAACGCAUCAUUGACCAUGAUGCCACUAGAAAUUGUGCAUGCAUGUGUAGGGGCCACAUGCAAUGGCGCAUGCAUAAUCUAUUUUAUGUGUGCGACAAUGCAUGUGGCUACUGCUCCACCAAUCAUCUAUAAAUACAACAUCCCCUCCCAUAAAUUUUCACACAUUUUUUUACCAUCUCCUUCCAUUUUUCCUUCAAUCUCCUUCAAUUUUCUUUAAAAUAUUUUCAUAUUCAUACUUUUGUCCUUAUAUUCACAAGAGAAAUGUCGAUUUAAUUUUUUCAAUAGUGCGGUCUCCGAUGAAGAUCUGACUUUGGAAUGUAGAUAUGUUUGAACAUCUUAACAGGACCUUGAAUUGUUGUUUAGAUGGAGAAAUUGAAGAUAGCGAAAGGAUCAGAAGAAUUCAAUGACUUGAUACGACGUUCAACAAAAAUGGAGAAGUUUGUUUCUAGGUCAAUGUUAAAACUGACAGAAACGUUCACAUGAUGAUGUAUAUUUCUCACAAAAUUAUUUUGAUGGUUGUAAUCGCAUAAUUAUGUUAUUUAUGUGUUGUAUUUGUUUGUGAUUGGUUGUGUUAUUUAUGUUUUUUAUCUGUUGUAUUUGUUGUAGUUGAUUGUGUUGUUGUUUAAUUAUUGUAUUUGUUCUGCUUAUCAUAUGAAAUGAAUGUUGUUUUUAAUAUAAAGUAAAAGACUUAUAAUUAAAAUUAUGUUGUUGUGAUUGGUCCAACACUGAGAGAGUUUGUACAAUUAUGAUCGGGCUGGCGACAUGAACUACAUAAUCUAACCAUUUUGUUCGCCUUAUCUAUAUCGGUUCGAAUACAGGUGCUGUUUGGGCAGCCUUUUUUCUUUCUUCGCAUUAUUUCGUUGUACCAGAGAAUCUCUCUUUGACAUGCAGACCAGUAAUCCUCUUUUUCUAUCACCAAAAAGCUAAUUUUGUAAACAUUGCAAAGGUUUAUGACUUUGUAAACGUCGGAUAGUAAGUUGGAAGGAUCAUGUUGAACCUUUGAACAUGCCACUAUAACAUGGGAGCAAGGCAUACGAAAGGCUUGAAACUUUUCAUAGUCGCACCAACCUCUAUCUAGUUCCACUCGAUAAUGUCCCCUCGACAUGUCUUCAUUGUGAUCCAUUGGCUUAGCAACACUGUACCAAUCUUUAGUACGGUAGGUUUCAUAUGCCUUUAAAGAUAGAGUUCAUUAAUUCCACAAGAUUUGUUAUCUUGUGGCCCAAUAGUUGACUGUUGUCGUAUUCUCUAGUCCACUUCUCCAAUGGAAUAUUGUCAAUCCACCUUACUGCAUAUGCGUUUGACAAUCUGAUGUCUUUGCGGUAGUGUUUGAAAGAAGGUUCUGUUAAUGCGUACCCUGUGUUAUCAACCUUCUUCCGCAAUGUUUUGUCUUUGAUCUCCCGCAUGAAAAUUUGAGCGGUAUAUCUAAUGCAGUAGACAUACGUCGAAGAAGGAUCCUACAAGCCAUUAUCAAUGUUUUUACAGGCACUCAAAAUUUAAGGGUAUUUGUCUAAGAUCAAACAUAAGUCAGGCUGAGGAGCAAUGUGCAAUCAGAGAUUUUUGAGGAAAAAACUCCAUCCCCCAGCAGUCUCCCCUUCAACUAGUGUAAAGGUGAUUGGACCAGACGAUGUAUUACUACUAAACAACUCCACCUUUAAUUUAAAAAAUGAUCCAAUUACAUAACCUCCAAUCAUGUCAAAUUCUUAUAAAAUUUAUCUAGAGGUCGUAUCUGGGUCUUGAUCAUCAGGUUAACCAUGAUGAUGAUGCAAUUUAGACAGCAAAAAAACCAAUCAUCUGAUUCACUACAAAUUCUUAUACAGUUUAUCUGAAAGUUGUAUUUGUGUCUUGAUCAUCAGGUUAACCAUGAUGAUGAUGCAAUUUGGACAUCAAAAACACCAAUCAUCUGGUUCACUACUAUGGAGAUGUACCAGAGUGACCGUGUAAAACUGCAGUUUGACAUGCAACAAUAAAUUCCAUAACCUCCGACGUGUUUGGGAGUUUGGCAUCAACAAAGAGUCGAUGUCCAAUUGGAUUAUUCCGAUUGGAGAGACUUUGUAAAAGAGAUGUAUCGUGAUUAGAGGAAUCGACAACAACACAUUUUAAACGAACCAAUCAUACAAGGUGCCAGAUCAACUCAACAUUAUAUGGCAUGGUUUAGGUCAGUUACAACGCCACAGUUUGUGUCUAAGCCAAGGUAUUUGAUUGAUCCACGCCAACGAGCUUCAUCAUCAAACACCUAACAACAAAUCCCGGCCCAAGAGCAAUGUCAACCCACCGAACCCCAACAUCCAACCUCACAUCAUCACCCUACCAUAUACACCAAACCACCAAACACCCAACCUCGCAACCAAUUUAUGCCACACACACAAACUCAAAACCAGGAACCAAACCUAACCACCAAUAAUCAAACACAACUACCACAUUUGUCUAUAGCCCAGAUGAUUCAUACGAUUCAACCUCAUGUCAUCAUAGUCCCCCACUUAUGAACACCCAAACAUCCCAUCGCCAUAACACCUAACCAUUGUUUGACUUUAUUACACCAUAGUAACCAUUGUUUCGUUUCCAAAAUGAUUUAAUGUCCCAUUCGGGCAACCAUACCGUCCACAAACAACCCAACCACAACGACCCAACUACGGCAACAUGGGCACCGAACUCAAUUACGACAACACUGUUGGCGGCAACAAACCUAGCUAUUGGGGAGAAAUGAUGACAAAUUCAUCAAAUACCGUUGGAUCUUCCACCGGACCAUCACACCAGCCACCACUACAUCAUGUCAGCACUCAAAGACCUCAAACACCUCAGGGAAAUCGUGAGAGACCUCGAAGGCAGGCCAACACACCAGAAUGUGGAACAAGGAAACAUUUAAAUCGGGCGGGUAAUUGAUGUUCUUGUCAGUUAUUAUGUAUUUUAACUUUAUAUCAUAAUAUUAAUAAUUAUUAUUCAUUUACCUAUUUAUUUUUUUUAUUUAUAAGUAUAACAUAUAAAAUAAUAUAUAUAUCAUGCGUCACAUGCAAUGACGCAUACACUUGAUAUAUAGUAAGUAUGCGCCAAUUGCAUUGGUUUCACUGCAUGCAGGUGCCAAUGAUAUUGGCGCCUAUGUUCAAUGAUAACAUGCAUGUGCCAGUCCAACUAGCGCAUGCUUUAGAGGUGUGCAUGAAACAUGUUUAUAUUGGUAAAUAACUUGAAAUAGUUAUUAUUUUGGAAAUUAAAUUGAAAAUACUUGGUUAUUGUUUUAAAAAAUCCAAAGUGAAUUGUAUUAAAAUAAAGUACAAAUCGGGAUAACAAUGUAUAUCCAUGAGUAUCAGUGGUAGUUCUCUGUUUAGUAAAUAUGAUACCUGCCACACUCCAAAUUUUGAUCUAUAUCAUUUCCAUAUCAUUCUAUCAUACAUUGCAUACAUCUCAUGCAUAAUGAAUUGGGGUUUUGUGUGAUUUUUUUUUAAAUAAUCACUAUUUUUAAAAAUAAUACUAAAAUAACAUACUUUUUUUAAAAAAAAAAUAUCAAUAUAAUCACUUAAAAAAAAUUAUCCGGGUAAAAUAGUCAUCAUACCAAAUGGCGCAUCAUUUAGGUAAUUGAACUAAGACGCCAUACUUAGUGGCUCAUGCAUGCAACUCAAACCAAUGCAACUGGCGCAUGCUUUGGGAUGUUGCGCUAUGACGCCAUUGCAUGUGGCGCAUGCACGCAUGCAUAGUGCAUAUGCCAAUCCAUGUGGCUAUUAAUUUUUCUUUCACCUCUUUAAAUACAGCGUCACCUACCAUUGUUUUUCACACAUCUUCUUACCACCUCCUUUCAUUUUUCUUCAAUCUCCUUCAAUUUUUCUUCAAAAUUUUUUCAUAUAUUUGUCCUUAUAUUCACAAGAGAAAUGUUGAUUUAAUUUAUUCGACAGUAAAGCCUCUGAUGAAUAUUCAACUACGGAAUAUAGAGACGUUUGAACAUCUUAAUAGGACCUUGAUGUGUUGGUUAGAUGAAGACAUUGCAGAGGGUGAAAAGAUCAAAAGAAUUCAAAAGUUUGAUACAACGUUCAACCAAAAUGGAGAAGUUCGUUUCCGGGUGAAUGUUAAAACUGACAGAGAGUUCACAUGAUGAUGUAUAGUUCUCACAAAAUUGUUUUGAUGGUUGUAAUCACAUAGUUAUGUUGUUUAGUCGUUGUAUUGUUUGUGAUGUCGUUUAAUUAUUGUAAUUGUUUGGGUUUUUGUUUAAUUGUUAUUUAAAUUAUUGUUUAGUUGUUUUUUUUUCAAAUUAUUAUAUCUGAAUGUUAUGAUAUUUAUGAAAUGAAAGUUAUUUUUAAUAUAAAGCAAAAGAGGAUAAUUAUAAGAGCAGUUUUGGAAAUUUAUGAUAAUAUUUUAUUACAUGAGCAAGUUGGUUUGAAAGUCCUAUUUUACCAUUUUAUCACUUUUCUUUUAUGUAAAAAUUUGGUACAGAAUAAAUAUUUGCUAUUAAAACAUUUUUCAAAAUCUAAUUUGUAUAAAUAAAAUUAACAUAAAAAUUGGUUGUGUUCACGAUUAUUUAUUUAUUUUUAUGAGAUUUUUGAAGGAGGAUAAUUAUUUAUCACUAAUUAAUUAAUUAAAUUUAAAUAUUUACAAAUUAUAAAUAAAAAAAGAGGAUACUUAAUUUAUAUUUAGAAUAAUAAGAAAACUAUAAUAUAAGAAUAAUUAACAAAAAAAAUAUAAGAAUAAUAAGAAUAACUAUAAGAAUAAUAAGAAUAACUAUAAUAUAAGAAUAACUACAAUAUAAAAAUAACUAUUGAUAUUAAGAAUAAUAAGAAUAACUAUAAUAUAAGAGAAUAAUUAACAUUCACGAGAGAAAUAUAAUUUUUAAUUUACAAAAAAUAUUUUAAAGAAAAAUAAUAAUAGCUAUAAUCACUAUAAAUAAAAUAGUUGUAGUCACCUGAUAUUCGCGCUACAACGUGAAAAAUCACUUCACAACACGUUUUUAGCGACAUGAACUUUCACACGGUAGGAGCACGGGUGGCAACUCUGUUGCCACGUGAAAAUCACGUUGUAAUUUUAUCACGUGAAAUUCACUUCACAACACGUUUUCCAGCUUUAUCUACUGUAAUUCAGAAUAACAGAGAUGACAAAUAAGGUGACAGUGACUUGCGACGUGAUUUUCACGUGGCAAAGUUGUGAAGUGAAAAUUUACUCACCAUACUUAUACUGUAUGCUAAGUCAGACCUUUGUGACAUAAGUAUCGAAUUGACCCAAUAAUUCUUCUAUAUUGGAUUGGGUCGACAUCAUCUUCAUCUGAAUCUUUCGACAGUUGUAAUUUGGGCUCAACUGGAGUCGAAGUUGGGUUGCAAUCUUGCAUCUCAAAUCUCUUGAGUAUUUCACCUGCAUACCUUCUUUAAUGCAUCAUCAAACCUCUACCACUCUUGUAGAAUUUGAUGCCAAGGAAAUAUGAAAUGUCACCAGAUCUGACAUUUUGAAUUCCUUGUUGAGAUCACCUUUGAAGUCUUUGAUCUCCUUCUUGCAGCUACCUGUUAUCAACAAGUCAUCGACAUAGAGACAUGGUAUACUCAAUUCGCUCUUUCUUCUUCUUACAUAUACUCCAUAUUCAGUUGUGCACUUCACAAAUUCCUUCUCCAUUAAAAAUACAUUUAUCUUCUUGUUCCAAGCUCUUGGAGUUUGUUUAAGCCCGUAUAGGGCUUUAUGCAACAUGUAUACCUUUCUUUCUUCGCCUUGUUUCACAAAUCCAGGUUGUUGUGCAACAUAAAAUUCUUCUUCUAAGGGGUCAUUCAGGAAUGCAUAUUUCACAUCCAUCUAACACAUUUGCCAGUUGUUCAUGUUUGCUAGACCAACAACCAACCUGGUUGUUUCGAUCCUAGCAACAGGUGCAAAAAAUUCGUCGAAGUCGAUUCCUUAUAUCUGAAGAAAUCCUUUCACCACAAGUCCCAUCUUGUGUCAAGUUACAUCUCCUUUGGGAUUCAACUUCACCUUGUAUACCCACUUCAUAUUGAUUGCCUUCUUGUCUUCGUUCAUUUCUUUCACCUACUUCGAAUCUUUCAAUGCCUCAAAUGCAUUAACUGGUUCAACAUCUGUGUAGAAAGCAUAUUGUACCAUCUCACCUUCUCCAUUGACCACAUCAUCUGAUAUAAUCACACAUUCUUGCAACUUUGCAGGCAUGUGUCUUGUUCUUUGAGGUCUGCUUGGGCCUACUUCACCUCUGACUUCUUGUCGAACUUUUUUUCCGACUUCACUUGUUGGUUCAUCACAUAAUAUUCUCACUGAAUCCUUCUUAACAUUCUCAAUCCAAUCCCAUUCCUUAAGCUUGUCUAUGAUCACGUCCCUGUUGAUCGCCACUUGCUUGUUCACUGGGUCGAACAACUUGUAUCCUUCAGUUGAAUGAUAUCCUAUCAGGAUCAUCUAACUCGACUUGUCAUCAAGUUUCUUCUCAACCAAUCUGGCACAUGUCUAUGUGCUAUAGAUCCAAACACCUUUAGAUGACUUAGGCUAGGCUUGACACCAAACCAACUUUCUUCUGGCGUGAUUUCUUCUAGCUUCUUUGUCGGAUAUUUAUUCAGGAUAUAUGUUGCAGUGAACACAACUUCUACCCAUAAUUCUUUGGAUAAAUGCUUUCCUUUCAACAUAUUUCUCACCAUAUUCAUGAUGGUUCUAUUUUUCCUUUUUGCGACUCCAUUCUGUUGUGGAGUGUAGGGUGGCACCACCUCACGCACAAUCCCUUCUUUCACAUAUAAUGCGUUGAAGUCUUUCGAGAUAUAUUUUCCACCACCAUCAGUCCUCGGAAUCUCGAGCUUUUGACUGCUCUGUCUUUCAACCAUAGAUUUAAACUUGGCAAAUACCUCGAUCAUUUCACUUUUCUUCUUGAUCAAGUAAGCCCACGGUUUUUGACUGAAAUCAUAUAUGAAUGUAACAAAGUAUCUGUUAUCUCCAAUCGAAUCCACCUGGAUAGGACCACACACAUCAGAGUAUAUGACUUCAAGAAUUACCUUCGACCUGCUUUCUGCAUUCUUACUGAAGUUGUUCUUGUGUUGCUUCGUCUGCACACAUUCUUCACACACUUCAUUUGGACUGUAGAUUUUUGGUAAUACUGAAACCAUAUUUUUUCUCUUCAAAUCUUUGAUGUCUUUGAAAUUGAGAUGACCAAGUCUAUAAUGCCAUAUCCAUUCAUCUCUACUGGCUUCUGUUGCAAGACAUUUAUGCUCCAUCACAUUAAGCUCAAUCUUGAAGGUUCUAUUCUGAGACAUUAGAGCCUUCAAGAUCAACAUUCCAUUUGAGUCGAGAACUUGCAUCAUCUUGUCUUUGAUCGACACCUUAUAGUUCUUUUCGACUAACUUCCCUAUGCUGAGAAAAUUGCUCUUCAUGCCUGGUAUGUACAACACAUUUGAAAUUAUUUACCUCUUUCCAUCUUUCCUCAUAAUCAGAACAUCACCAACACCUUCAACUUCUAGAGUAUUGUCAUUGCAAAUUUCACCACGUUCUUCAUUAAGGGCUUUAUGUUGACAAACCAAUCUUUCCUUCCAGACAUGUGUGAUGAACAUCCUGAGUCCAAGUACCACUGGUCCUUGAAUCUCUCUUCAUCUAUCGUUGUAACCAUGAACAACAUCUCUUCUUCUUCAUGUUUCAUCAGCUUUGCAUUAGUUUCUUGAUUCUUCUGCUUUUCUGGACAAUCACUAGAAUAGUGAACAUGCUUCUGACAAUUGUAACACUGAAUGCGACUCUUGUCUAGUUUUCGACCACCACCUCUUCCUCUAGCUGCAACACCACCUCUUUGGUUGCCUUGGUUCCAGGGUUUUCUCUUAUUCGACCAGUUUCCUUCUUGCUUAUUUCGACCAGUCGAAUUGUUUAGCCUCUUCUUCCUUUGUUGUCAUUCCAACUUUACUUUGCAUUUCCUUUCUUUUGUUGAUUGCACCUGUAAAGCCACACCACUCUUCGACUUUCCUGCAGCUCUUUCAGUCAUUCUUUGUUCAUGAGAUUCAAGCGUCCCUUGAAGCUCUUCCUUUAUCAGUUUUGACAAAUCUUUCGACUCUUCUAUGGCUACUACCACGUGGUCGAAUUUUGGAGCCAACGACCUAAAAAUCUUUCCAACAACAAAUCUUGAUGCCAACACUUCUCCAUAUACCUUGAUUUGAUUCACCAGUUUCAUAACCUUAGUGAAGAAAUCAGUUAUGCUUUCAUCGUCUUCCAUCUGAAGCAAUUCAUACGUCCUUUUGUGAAUUUAUAGCCUCACCUCUUUCACCUCCUUUGCGCCUCCAAACGACUUCUCCAGAAUUCCUCAUGUUUCUUUUGCUGACUCUACAUUACUAACCUUUUCAAAAUUAUUUGAAUCAACACAUUGAUGGAUUAUAAAGAGAGUUGUAUAACAGUUCUUUUUCAAUUCUUUAUGUGCAACCCUUUCUUGACCCGUCACGUUUUCUACAGGCGUUGUUACUCUUUCCUUCACAAGAUCCCAAAGAUCUUGAUAACAGAACACAACCUUCAUCUAGUUUCACAAAUUCUCAUAAUUAUUGUUCUUGAGAAUCAGAAGAUUCGUUGAAAAAUACUCGUUUGGAUGAUUCAUAGCCAUCGUGAUUUUCUUCCCACUAAUCGCUUAAAAAGGAACCUCUAGAUACCCGAUGUUGGAAAUCCACCAUAAUUUAUGGAGAAUUUCUAUAAGUCUUGAUGAACAAGAUUGUUAUCAAUGCAAUGACAAUGAAAAGAAAAGAACGAUUGAGAAAGAAAGAAAAUAACGUUGGAGAAGAAGAAGAAUAUUUUCUGCAGAAUUUUCUCUCUGCCCACAACCUGUGAAAAACUUCUUUAUUCACUUUACAAUUACAAAAUUCUAUGAAUGCAAUGUUGAGUUGUUUUAAGAAUAAGGGUUACUCUCUCUAUUUGUAGAUUUAUGUUAACUUGCUCGCUAAACCAAAACUCAAAACUAUAAAAAUUUAAAAUAGUUAACACUCCUAGACAAAUAGGCCUAGAUACUUAUCAUUGGAUCAUACUUUAAGCAAAUAUUUUUCACACAAAUAUUUUUGACGUGUCCUUGACUAAUAAGUACAGCAAACAACAAAAAAAAAGUUUUUUUCACAAAAGGAUUAUCAUAAAUAAUACAAGACUAAUAUAUAUUUUUAAUAAAUAAAAAAAAUGGAACACAUUUCUUAUUAAUACAUAAAAAACACUAAAUAAAUAUUUGAGUUCAGAAAUCAAAUCCCUUCAAAUUCAGAAAAGAUAUUUUUGAUAAUUUAAUAGAGAUAUUUAAAUCCAAAUCAUAUUAACCGUAAUCAAUUCAUUAGUCAAAUAUAUUUGAUUUUAUAUAAAAAUAAGUCUUAUGUUAUUUAUAUAUUUCAUUUUGAUUAUAUCAAUUAUAAAUUAUAAUUUUUUUUAUAAUUAAUAAAUUUUAUUAUUUUUAUAGUUUACUAACAAUUAAUAUAUCAAUUAUAUUUAUGAUAAACCUGUCCUACAGACGGGUAUUAAAAAUAAGUGGUGCUCGUGAGACGCAUGGUUACUUUACUACUAAAAAUUAUCCAAAGCUUAAAAGACUUUUGUUAACUCAAUAACUUAACAUGUGUGUGAAACAUUUGUCACAUGCUUGUUCUAAAUAAAAGGGUGCUUCACUUCAUUACUAGUAUUAUAUAGAGAGGUAUAGUUAACCAACAAAAUCACAAACAUAAAAACAUCCUUAAUCACCUAACAAUGAAACCUCUUUCACCACUCACCCUUUCCUUUUUCUUCUUUGUUUUCAUCACCACUCUUUCACUAGCUUUCUCAAAUGAAGAUGUUGAGCAAGUAUUGGACAUUAACGGCAACCCCAUUUUCCCCGGUGUCCAAUACUUCAUCUUGCCAGCAAUCCGUGGCCCUGCAGGCGGAGGAGUAAGACUCGGAAUAACCGGUGAUUUAACCUGUCCAGUCACUGUCCUACAAGACCGCCAAGAAGUUAAAUACGGUCUACCAGUGAAGUUCGUUAUACCAGAAAUAUCUCAUGGUAUAAUUUUCACUGGUACACCAAUUGAAAUAGAGUAUGCAAAGAAACCUAAUUGUGCAAAAUCAUCAAAAUGGUUAGUAUUUGUUGACAAUGUUAUUCAAAAGGCUUGUCUUGGUAUUGGUGGUCCUGAAAAUUACCCUGGUGUGCAAACAUUGAGUGGAUUAUUUAAGAUUGAGAAGCAUGAAUCUGGAUUUGGCUAUAAGCUUGGAUUUUGUGUUAAGGGUUCUCCUACUUGUUUGGAUGUUGGAAGAUUUGAUAAUGAUGAAGAUGGAAGA
Molecule: long non-coding RNA, 44091 nt
Filed under: Lathyrus oleraceus (garden pea)
Lineage: Eukaryota; Viridiplantae; Streptophyta; Magnoliopsida; Fabales; Fabaceae
Description: Pisum sativum (pea) long non-coding RNA (PSAT_LNC037554)
Source: RNAcentral